AGUUUGAUCAUGGCUCAGACGAACGCUGGCGGCGCGUCUUAAACAUGCAAGUCGAACGAUCUGUAGCAAUACAGGGAGUGGCGGACGGGUGAGGAACACGUAGGAAUCUACCUUGAAGAGCGGGACAACUUUGGGAAACCGGGGCUAAUACCGCAUAGUACAGAGAUGUUAAAGGGCUAGCAAUAGUCGCUUCGAGAUGAGCCUGCGGUCUAUCAGCUUGUUGGUGAGGUAAUGGCUCACCAAGGCUACGACGGAUAGCCGGUCUGAGAGGAUGAUCGGCCACACUGGCACUGAGACACGGGCCAGACUCCUACGGGAGGUAGCAGUUAAGAAUCUUGCGCAAUGGGGGAAACCCUGACGCAGCGACGCCGCGUGAAGGAUGAAGGCUUUCGGGUUGUAAACUUCGGUAGACUGGGAAGAGGAAAUACGUUCGUUGAGGGCGUAUAGUGACGGUACCAGUCUGAAGCCCCGGCUAAUUACGUG
This 483-nucleotide ribosomal RNA is filed under the name uncultured bacterium. Its description in RNAcentral is "bacterial SSU rRNA". It matches the Rfam family "Bacterial small subunit ribosomal RNA", at positions 10 to 507 of the family's 1533-position model. The record is from RNAcentral.